Molecule: ribosomal RNA, 252 nt
Filed under: uncultured bacterium
Lineage: Bacteria
Description: partial 16S ribosomal RNA
Rfam family: Bacterial small subunit ribosomal RNA
Source: RNAcentral
UACGUAGGGUGCGAGCGUUGUCCGGAAUUACUGGGCGUAAAGGGUUCGCAGGCGGCUUGGCAAGUCUGAUGUAAAAGGCGAAAGCUCAACUUUCGUAAGCAUCGGAAACUGUGAAGCUUGAGUGAAGGAGAGGCAAGUGGAAUUCCUAGUGUAGCGGUGGAAUGCGUAGAUAUUAGGAGGAAUACCGGUGGCGAAGGCGACUUUCUGGCCAUAAACUGACGCUGAGGUACGAAAGCGUGGGUAGCAAACAGG